Molecule: ribosomal RNA, 750 nt
Filed under: uncultured Actinomyces sp.
Lineage: Bacteria; Bacillati; Actinomycetota; Actinomycetes; Actinomycetales; Actinomycetaceae
Description: bacterial SSU rRNA
Rfam family: Bacterial small subunit ribosomal RNA
Source: RNAcentral
GACGAACGCUGGCGGCGUGCUUAACACAUGCAAGUCGAACGCUGAAGCCCAGCUUGCUGGGUGGAUGAGUGGCGAACGGGUGAGUAACACGUGAGUAACCUGCCCCCUUCUUUGGGAUAACGCCCGGAAACGGGUGCUAAUACUGGAUAUUCACUGGCUUUCGCAUGGGGGUUGGUGGAAAGGUUUUUUCUGGUGGGGGAUGGGCUCGCGGCCUAUCAGCUUGUUGGUGGGGUGAUGGCCUACCAAGGCUUUGACGGGUAGCCGGCCUGAGAGGGUGACCGGUCACAUUGGGACUGAGAUACGGCCCAGACUCCUACGGGAGGCAGCAGUGGGGAAUAUUGCACAAUGGGCGAAAGCCUGAUGCAGCGACGCCGCGUGAGGGAUGACGGCCUUCGGGUUGUAAACCUCUUUCGCUCAUGGUCAAGCCGCAGCUUUGGGUUGUGGUGAGGGUAGUGGGUAAAGAAGCGCCGGCUAACUACGUGCCAGCAGCCGCGGUAAUACGUAGGGCGCGAGCGUUGUCCGGAAUUAUUGGGCGUAAAGGGCUUGUAGGCGGUUGGUCGCGUCUGCCGUGAAAUCCUCUGGCUUAACUGGGGGCGUGCGGUGGGUACGGGCUGACUUGAGUGCGGUAGGGGAGACUGGAACUCCUGGUGUAGCGGUGGAAUGCGCAGAUAUCAGGAAGAACACCGGUGGCGAAGCGGGUCUCUGGGCCGUUACUGACGCUGAGGAGCGAAAGCGUGGGGAGCGAACACG